GCGGUAAUACCAGCCCCCUGAGUGGUAGGGACAAUUAUUUGGCCUAAAGCGUCCGUAGCCGGCUUGGUGAAUCUCCCGUUAAAUCCAACGACUCAAUCGUUGGCCUGCGGAAGACACUGCCAGGCUAGAGGGCGGGAGAAGUUGACGGUAGUCCCAGGGUAGGGGCGAAAUCCUAUAAUCCUGG
This 184-nucleotide ribosomal RNA is filed under the name uncultured archaeon. RNAcentral's name for it is "partial 16S ribosomal RNA". It matches the Rfam family "Archaeal small subunit ribosomal RNA", at positions 467 to 651 of the family's 1478-position model. The record is from RNAcentral.